UGAAUAUUCAUUGAAAAUUCAGGUUGUC
Molecule: non-coding RNA, 28 nt
Filed under: Mus musculus (house mouse)
Lineage: Eukaryota; Metazoa; Chordata; Mammalia; Rodentia; Muridae
Source: RNAcentral